Molecule: ribosomal RNA, 253 nt
Filed under: uncultured bacterium
Lineage: Bacteria
Description: partial 16S ribosomal RNA
Rfam family: Bacterial small subunit ribosomal RNA
Source: RNAcentral
UACGGGGGGGGUAAGCGUUGUUCGGAAUUACUGGGCGUAAAGGGCUCGUAGGCGGCCAACUAAGUCAUACGUGAAAUCCCUCAGCUUAACUGGGGAACUGCGUCUGAUACUGGAUGGCUUGGAUUCGGGAGAGGAAUGCGGAAUUCCAGGUGUAGCGGUGAAAUGCGUAGAUAUCUGGAGGAACACCGGUGGCGAAGGCGGCAUUCUGGACCGACAUUGACGCUGAGGAGCGAAAGCCAGGGGAGCAAACGGG